UUUCGGUUGCGCAACAGUAUCCCUUAGCCAUCCCCUACCCCUACUCCAACAUCGUCUUCACCGUUUAAAGCAGCCCACCGCCUCUUCAGCUCCUCCCCAUUUCAGCCCUCCUCCUCUUCGUCGUCGUUUUCGCGCUCUCAGUAUUUCUGUCUUCUGCCCUCCUCCUUUUUCAACGCUCUGUGCUCCCCACCCUGAAAGGCUCAGCCCUCCGUUCCCUUCUUUCGUGCAAAACUCUGCCAUCAGCCUUUGCCGAGUCACUCCCGACCCCCACCCCGUUUCUCGCUCUCUCCAGUUCAGUGACUUUGCUUUUGUGCGUUCCUUUUUUUUUUUGGUGCCCUGCUUCUCGUUCAGUGUGUCUCGGACGUUGUGCUUCGAUUUGUGUGCCGUCUCAUUCUUGCACUUGCUUGGACGCGAUCUACGCACACACCAAACACAGACCGGAAGCAGUUUUGCGUGAUUCUCUUCGCGAACGCAACAGCAGAAAAGGACGCAACAGAAAAAAAAAACAUACCCAGCACAGAUCAUCAUGCAGCUCUCUCGCAUUCCGUCGUACGAGGAGGCCAGCGUGGCCGGCGCUGAGUACUCGGUGUCGCCCAUGUCCCCCCUAGCCCACCUGAGCAAGAAGAUCGACGUUACAAAGCUGAAGACGAAGGCGUGCCGCUACUUCCUCCUCGGUGUGACAUGCCCGUUCGGGGAUAGUUGUGCCUUCUCUCAUAGCGAACCUGUCUCCCCCGCCGCGUACGCGCCGGCACGGAUGGCUGCGAAGAGCUCCGCCAGCCUGAACUUCGAGGACCUUUCCAAGUCCGGGAGUGCCCAGCUGAGCGAUACGCAGUCUAAUGACGCCGCUGGUGACGUGUCUGAGCGCGUUGUGUUCGGACAGCCCCCGCCGGCCUACGAGGUCGCCCUCAAGGAGUCCGAGACCCUGGCGGCAGCGGCAGCGGCAGCUGAGGAGCUGGCGACCCCGCCGGCGUACCCCAAGCGCUUCCGCUUCGACCCCUACAGCGUGAACUGGAUCGCCUACGAGAAGACCGCGUAAGCAAACUUUUCUACCUCCGUGCUCCGUGUAAAAGUCUAAAGAAGACGCUAAUACUUCAGGAAUGACGAUCUAUAGUGAACUCACUGGAAGAGAGACCUCCAUUUUUCAAAUGGUGCACGAGGAGGAGCUCCUCCUCGUGCUCUCCCGCUCUCUCAACACUCCAGGGGCUCUCUUUCGUUAUUGGAAACUGCAUGUAUUCCGUCGAGAUGGGCGUUUCUGCGCCUCUUCUCUUCCCUGUCUCUUCACCCCCCCCCUUCUCCUCACCUGCGCCUCUCACUCUUUCUCUCUCUCUCGCUUUAUGAUCGUUUAAGGAAAGCUUUUUUUAUUAUUUCAUUUUAUUUAUUUGGCUUCUAUUUUGUAUUUUCUUAGCUCUUUAUUUCCACGCAUGCGUGUGUGUGUCUGUGUGUGGUCAUUUUGUUUUCGUUUUUUUUUUGGGGGGUUCGUUUUCGGUUCUAGUCUGUAACUGUGUUUUCCGUGCCUUUGGCUUUCCCUUGCAUUGCUUCUUCGUUCUUUGUUGUUUUCGCUUCUGUUUCACUUCCUCUGAGCCUUUGAUUUUUUUUAUUUUGCUUCGCCAUGUGGCAGAGAACGACGGCACACACGUAAACAAACUUGUUUCGCCUCGUGUCAAUUUUAGCCCCUGUCGCUCUGUGUAUGCUUUCUGCGUGCAGUCGCUUGUAUGCGUGUGGAGAGAGUACAUGGCUAACACGUGCGUCCUCAUCCGCAUGCGCAUACCCGGUCCAACGUCCAUGGAAGCACAUGCAUACAUUCUCGCUCCCUCUAUGUGGCUUUCUUUUCGUGUGGUUGCCUUGUUUUUUUCUGUUUUUGUGUACUUGUUUUAGUUCCUUGUUUGUUUAAGCACCGUUUUCUUUUGCUGUUCUUGCUUGUCGUGGUUGUUCCUGUCCCUGUCGCAGCCCGCUCUCACGACGCUACUUCCUCGCCUAUAUGCACCCCCCCCCCACUCUUCGCCUCUGUCUCCUUCAUCGCUUUUUCUUUCGGCGUUUGCAUGUGUGAUUGGUACGCUGCUGCAAAUGCGCUCCCACGCACAUGCGCACAAGCACGAGAAAAGCGACGGCCUCUACGCGCAGGUGUACACCUGCUUAUUGGUGCAGCAAUUUUCUAGUCCUACCUCACUUGAAAAUAUGUGCGCUGGUAGUUUCCUGUGAAAAAAAAAGGCCGCCCUCGCUUUUCUUUUUUUUUUCUAUUCGCCGAAUGUGCAUGUGGGCGAAGGAGUGAUGGAGGUAAGGAGGACGGCGCGCAUGUGGGCGGUGCUUUGCCGCUUUUCCAUCACCGUGCGUUUCCGCUCGCUGCUGUAGUUGGGUAUCUUCUCCUGCGCCCGUCCUCUGUGCUCUACACAGAGCUCUCUUCUUCGUCUUGUGGUGGAUCAUCACUUUUGCCGACCGGGUGCUGCGUGCGCACUGCGUCUGCUCGAGCAGUCCACCAACCCUUUCUGUCUUCCAUUUUUGAAUGAUCAUUUCUUCUUUCUGACAUUCGGUUUCCGAUGGUGACUCUCUCUGUUUUCAAGGAUGUCUGUGUUGUCCAUGACUCGCUCGCAAGUGAUGAGGGAGUAGGCGGAGCAGUUGCGUGUUCUUAUGGGGUGCAUGUGUGCGCGCUGAUGACCUGCGCGUAGGCGAGUGACGGUUGCAUCUGUGCCUAUCAAUAUAUCCUAUCACCGUUCUCGCGACUGCAAAAUACAUAUGCAUAGAGAGAGAGCUACACCGCCUGCUCUCCCCCCCUCCGUUUUUUUUUCUCCUCGGACUGUGAGCUCAGCUUCGUCAAUGAGACAUUCUUUUUUUCUUGUUUGUUUCUUUGUUUGACUGAAUGCGGCUUGUGUGUCGUUUUUUUUUGCUCUGCACUUUCCUCAACUCAGCUGAGUGGCUCUCUCGUUCGCCUUUGGCUCCGCCAUGUGUCUUGUCAGGGAAGGUGAGAAGGAGCUUGUGGUUCGCUCUGAGGGCGCCGCGACAACGUUGCUCUGCUCGAUAGAUGAGGGACUGAUGGAGGUCGCAGCUCGUAGAUGGCCGUGCUCGCCUUUUCACUCAAGCUGGAUCGUCCUCCCCCUCCCUUUCUACCACUGCGGCAGCUUGGUCCUCUAUCAAAACGUCCACUAUAUGCGCCCUACUUCUUUUUGUUCGAGCUGAUGAGUCGCGCUGCAUUGUUUUCCUCUUUCUAUGCACCAACCCGACCGUUUUCAUAAGCGAGAACACGCGCAAGGAGGAGGGCGACAACCGCGUCGAUGCCAUUAUACAAUGAAUUUUUGUUGUCUUCUUUUUUUUUUUCAUUUUUGCUGUGUGCUCUGCGUUUUUUUUUUCUCUUCGUGGGUGGGUGGAGUAUGUGCGGGCGUCGACGGUGAUCUCCGUUUUGUUUGUUUUUUUUUCUAUCCGCCUCGGUGCCUACUUUGCGUUAUCGCAUGCGAGAGAUCAAAGAAGCAACCGAAACAAUCAGUCGACGACGUCGUCCGCACACUGCGCGGAGGACGUGAAUCGUGAUUUACCACCCACCCACUCUUUUUCGAAACUGCCGGCCUCCGUCUCUUCGCCGCUCCCUGUCUCCUCUCUUUUAUCGCCGUUCUCUCCUCCUGCUCUAACCUCCUGCUGUGAGGAUCGUUUUACGCACGGAAGGCGGAGGGACAAAAAAAAGGUAGGGAUGCUGCAUUGACGGUCCAUCAGCCGGGAAGUUGUUCUCUCUUCUGUUUUUUUUUUUUCGCCUGUAGUUGGCUUCCGUUGUGCUUUCUCGAACACAAGCAAAGGCCGAACGGCGAAAAAGAAAAACACACACUUGAGUUACAUGAGUGACUUCGAAGCAGAUUGCUCAAGCAGAAUUGCAAUCAUGUAAACACAGUGCUUGCACUCUGCCAUGUUUUAAGGCCUCCGGAACGAACAGUCGAAAACAAGAGAAACGUUACGCACCAUAGCAGCCAACGCACGCGGUUCUUGUGGGAAGUAGUGGCGAUGCGGUAGCAGAAUCGUAAGAGUGGUCACCGCAACGACAGUGACUGCCACACGUGCCCACUCGAGGACAACGGGAGCACUAAACAGAGAUUCGAAAACAGACACACACCAAAUUCGUACCUUCAAGGAGACAGUGACACGCAGCACGCAUCAACGAUAGCACAAAAAGGUGAAAAGUCUCAGAGACAGGGAGGAGUGAGGACUCAAAAAGCAGCGAAAAGGAAAAGAAAGGGGACGGGCAGGGAGUUUAUUCGGUUCUCAGUGUUCUUCAAACUUGCCUCCUUCGCCUCCUCUCUUCAUGAUCACUAUUUCCACUUCGCACAUUUUCUCUCUUCCGCUCAGCGCGCACUCACCUCAGUGUCUCUCCUGGAGCGGUUCCACUGGUGAGAGCUCUCUUUUUCUUUGCCCCCCCCUCUCCUGCUUUGUUGACGCUUGCUGUCUUCUGCCCUUUUUCCUGUUGGUCUGUUGGUGUGUUUGGUUUCGUCUCCGUUUUUUUUUUCCGUCACUUCUCUCUUUUUCUUUGCAUUGUUACAUCAAUUUUUCUUUCCGUUCUCCUCCUCUCUCCACUUCAUAUCUCUGUGGUUGUUUUCGAUUUUUUUUUGGUUUGUACCCCCUUCCUUUUUUGUUUGCCUCACAGCUUACGAGACUGGUUCCGUUUUCGUUUUUUUUUGGUUUCGUUUGCUCGUUUUCCGCCUUUCCCUAGCACCCUUUUGUGUCCCUGUGCCUUUCGCACUCCCUCACUCUCUUGCUCUCUCCUUCGCUUGUGUGUGUGUGUGUUGUUUUGUGUUUUCGCCUCUUCUUGUUGCUGUUUCGCUCGUAGCUUUCGAUGCUUGUUCCCUUCCCACCACUCAUAUUGUCUCUCCUGAUUUUUUUGUUCGUUUUUUUUUGCUUGCUUGUUUUCGCCUUCUUCCGUUCUUUUUUGUUGUCCGUCCUUCCCUGAGGUUUCGCUUGCGUGCUUCAUCCUCCCUUUCAUGUAUCUUUAUUUUUGUGUGUGUUCGUCAUUUCGUUUUGCCUUGCAAGCCUCACUUUCACUUGCCCUUUUUGUGUGUUGUUGUUUGAUGGUAAGAACAAAAACAAAAAGCGGAAAAAAGGCAACCACGAUAUAUAUAUGCAUGUAUAUAACGUAUAUCUAUAUAUCUAUAUAUAUAUAUACACACACACGUACACACACGUCUUCUCUCUUUCUUGUUGUUUGACUUCUCUGAAAUACCGUGCACGUUCGAAACAGGUGGGAGAAGCGAAUAAAAAAAAAGGAACGUUAAGAGAAGGCGCAAAAAGAAACUCAGAAUUUUUCUUGUCUCAUACCUCUCCCCUCCCCCUUCCACACACACACACACACACGCACUUUCUCUCGGCCCAUUAGUCACGCUUCACUCAUGUUUGUAUGUCUGCAUGUGAUUUUUGUCAUGUAGCGCCCGCCAAGGUCACAUGCCUGGUGGCGAAGCGUCUUGCAGCAGCUCUGAACUUCAUUCCCUCUGCGCAGCGAGCCACACCGACCGCAAAUUCGUAUAUAUUCGGGCAGUGAGGGCAUUCUCCGGAACGGUAAAAAUGUUUGUUAUCUGCCGAGUUGAAUCUGGAAGGGACAAGCCUCCUUAUGUGGCGUGAGCAAUGACAAGGCACGCGACGGUGGCGAAGGGAGGGAGACAGGCACAGCAGUGAGUAGACGAGAGCGGACCCUUUUGCGUUGGUGCAGCGAAGCAGCAAAAAAAAAAAGCAAAGGCGUUCGCACUCAGAGAUCGGCUUGCUCGCAUCCAACGGAGGACCGAAUUCACGAAAAGAAAUACGCAUCUCCUGUUUCUGUUGUGUGUGUGUGUGUGUGCGUGUGUGUGUGUGUAAGCUUUCUUGUUUAUCGCUUUCGGUUCGCGCUCUAUUUUGCAUGUUCCUUGCUUUUCUGUAUGCUGUUGUUCUCUUGAUCUUUUCUUGAGAAAGUGCAGCCGCCAUGAAACAAACACCAGAGAGUAGGUCUUUCCCCUCCCACUACCACCACCACCACCACUGGAUCACCUCUUUCUUCAUCUAGCCCCCUUCUUUUUCGCCUCCCUUUCAGCAAACCCGUUCCGAGAACUUGACAAGAAGCAUAUACACACAUACUCCCUCAUACGCAAUCUUGUGGCGCUGUUUGUUUGCCCUUCUCUCAGUAUAGAUUUUAUGCGAUUAAUCAGUCCUUCCCUCCAUGAUGCAGCUGAUUAGUCUUUCCUGAAUACGACCUCCUGUUACCCCUUCCCCCUCCCCCCUCCCUCUCUGUUUGUCUGGGUAUGCGCCCAUGAAAUGUGAUCGCCCGCAAUUUUUCUUUCUUUGUGCGGUGCUCUUGCCUUUUUGAUGUGUGUGGCUUGUAUGACCUUUUCCGUCGUUCUCGAGGAUAUGCCAAAGACAGGUGGAGAGGUGGGGCCAAAAUGGGGUGGGUGCAGGGUGCCACGGAUCGUACCUGCUUUCUUUUUUUUUCGUUGUUUUGCUGACUUCAAUAACGCUGGCCCACCCCCUCGCUCUCUUUCCCACGACGUACAAUGGCAAAGCAAAAAAAACAUACGCUGGUGAAGCCCAUCAAGAAAAAUGAGGUGAGUGUGGCGGUGGCUAGUAGUGGUUGGCGGUGGUGAUGGCGUUGCCAAAAGAAAAAUGGAAACAGGCACCGAAGAAGGCAUGAAAGGACGUGCUGCAAGACAAAAAGAAGACAAACAUCGCUGGUGACCGCAAUGCUGGGACUCAGCGACGUCACGAAAAGAAGAACGCGAGAUACUGAGGAAGGGAAAGAACAACGAAAAAAACACACAAAAAAAAACGGAGAGAUUGCACUCGAAAAAAAAGAAAAAGAGGCGCACUUCGUUUGCUCUUCGGACUCUAUCUUCGUAACUCUCUUUUUUUCUUCUGUGCCUCAGACGUCUUUUGUCUUUUUUACGUUUCCCCUUUCUUUUCAGUGAUGCUGCUCGUCUUCCUUCUUCUUUUCGGCUCCUCCAUGCCAUGAGAAUCGUGGGCACGGGUUCGAUGAGUCUCGUAUCACCAGUGAACUUUCCGCUGCACAUCUUCUUUUUUGUUUUUCGUCUUCUUCGCUUUUGUUCUCUCUCGGUUGCUCCCGCUGUCGUUUUAGCGGACUGGAGCGUGCUGGAGUUUUUUUUUCUUCUCUUUGUUUGGCAUGUGCACCUUCAUUUCCAUGGUUUGCACGUGAUCCAGAAGGAGGACUUACGGCACGCAGUGCGUUCGGGGAGCACGCAUGGACACAGCAUACAAGAAAAAAGAAUCAAUGACUCAUGGCGGGUCCAUUGUUGAGGCUAUACGACAAACGGAAGAGGCGGGCGAAAGACGUUUUACGAAAAAAAAAGAAAAGAUGUCGUCGAUCAUGGGCGAUAGUCGGCGCGCUUUGUGCGAAACACACACACACACAAAAGGUGACUUCGGAACUUUUUCCACCUCACCACGACACGCCCCAGUUCGCUGCCGAAAACAACAAUGACAAGACCCUCUCUCUUCAAAGACUAUCUUACAUGCUUUUUUUUUUUACGCCUUCUUUCGUAGUUUCUACUGUUGGCAAGCCUUCUCUCCUUGUUCUCUUCCCUUCGUGUCUUUUCCAUAUGUAUGUAUGUAGUUUUGCUUUUAUUCGGCUCUUUUUUUUUGUGUUUCGGUUCUUCGUUUUUUGUCGUUUCCGUAUUAAGACAAGAAAAAAAAAGAGGAAAGGCCACAUGGCAUGCUGAGAGCUACCCGUCUUUGCGAAGAGGGCGCGCAUAUGUCGAUGAAUCAACGCCUCCAUCGUCCCCUUCGUCUUUUCACCCGUGCGUGCGUGUACGGGAAGCGGAUUCGAUGUGCCAACAUCUUGCGGCCGCGCGGUGCACGUGCAGCGCAAGUCGGGGGAGGCUACGGUCAAAUGUUUUGGCCUACAAUGUGUGCUCCUUACCUCCGACUAGGGAGGCUGAUGGUGCUGUGGCGCGCACAAUCACACAUUGCUCGAGAGUUUGAAGGAGUGCGAGUCGUGGAUGAACUCACUUUCUUCUUACAUAGGGCAUGCUACGGCAAUGCCCUCGGGAAAGAAAAAAGCGUCCACUUCGUGUAGCGCAUGUAGUUGUGCGGCGUAGGUCUCUGUUGUGACGCUGUUCUCAUCCAUUCGUGUUCCUGCAUCGCUCUCGUCAUCGUCUCUCUCUUGUUUCUUCUUGUGUGCAUCCCCACUUCACCACAAG
RNAcentral lists this unclassified non-coding RNA (8144 nucleotides) under Leishmania donovani. RNAcentral describes it as "gene:LdHU3.30.3010(CDS-product:Zinc_finger_C-x8-C -x5-C-x3-H_type_(and_similar)_putative)". Lineage: Eukaryota; Euglenozoa; Kinetoplastea; Trypanosomatida; Trypanosomatidae. The record is from RNAcentral.